UAGGGAAUCUUCCGCAAUGGGCGAAAGCCUGACGGAGCAACGCCGCGUGAGUGAUGAAGGUCUUCGGAUCGUAAAACUCUGUUAUUAGGGAAGAACAAAUGUGUAAGUAACUAUGCACGUCUUGACGGUACCUAAUCAGAAAGCCACGGCUAACUACGUGCCAGCAGCCGCGGUAAUACGUAGGUGGCAAGCGUUAUCCGGAAUUAUUGGGCGUAAAGCGCGCGUAGGCGGUUUUUUAAGUCUAAUGUGAAAGCCCGCGGCUCAACCGUGGAGGGUCAUUAGAAACUGGAAAGCUUGAGUGCAGAAGAGGAAAGUGGAAUUCCAUGUGUAGCGGUGAAAUGCGCAGAGAUAUGGAGGAACACCAGUGGCGAAGGCGACUUUCUGGUCUGUAACUGACGCUGAUAUGCGAAAGCGUGGGGAUCAAACAGG
Molecule: ribosomal RNA, 429 nt
Filed under: Actinomycetes bacterium
Lineage: Bacteria; Bacillati; Actinomycetota; Actinomycetes
Description: Actinobacteria bacterium partial 16S ribosomal RNA
Rfam family: Bacterial small subunit ribosomal RNA
Source: RNAcentral